This 484-nucleotide ribosomal RNA is filed under the name uncultured bacterium. RNAcentral describes it as "partial 16S ribosomal RNA". It matches the Rfam family "Bacterial small subunit ribosomal RNA", at positions 39 to 507 of the family's 1533-position model. The record is from RNAcentral.
GGGGGGGGGGGGGGGGGGGGCGGGGGGGGGCCGGGGGGGGGGGUGAGGGGGGCGGGCGCCUGGAUUCGGCGGCGGACGGGUGGGUAAUGCCUAGGGAUCUGCCUGGUAGGGGGGGAUAAGGUCCGGAAACGGGCGCUAAUACCGGAUACGUCCUGGGGGAGACAGGGGGGGAUCUUCGGGCCUCACGCUAGCAGAUGAGCCUAGGUCGGAUUAGCUAGUUGUGGGGGUAAAGGCCUACCAAGGCGACGAUCCGUAACUGGUCUGAGAGGAUGAUCAGUCACACUGGAACUGAGACACGGUCCAGACUCCUACGGGAGGCAGCAGUGGGGAAUAUUGGACAAUGGGCGAAAGCCUGAUCCAGCCAUGCCGCGUGUGUGAAGAAGGUCUUCGGAUUGUAAAGCACUUUAAGUUGGGAGGAAGGGCAGUAAGUUAAUACCUUGCUGUUUUGACGUUACCAACAGAAUAAGCACCGGCUAACUUCGUG